ACUUUACAGUAGUAGCACAUGUAUUAUAGAUCAUACUAUGCGAAACAGUAGUAUGUAUAAUACAUCGAGUUAUUGGAAAGUACAAUAGCCAGUAUCCACAAAACCAAACAGAAAAUAGAUUUAGUACAUGGGAAUCAAACGACAAUACAAAUAAAGCUUGCUUAGAUUAGAAUAUCUGAAAAGCAACCUGGAAUUUAAGACAAAUGAUCCUGAGUAGAAGCCUGAAGAAGUCCAUCACGAAUCUGGGUAGCCACAUCACGGACUGCACCAGGUCCAUGUGGAAUGAACACAGCAGAAGACUUGGAAGCAGCC
RNAcentral lists this long non-coding RNA (312 nucleotides) under Olea europaea (common olive). RNAcentral describes it as "long non-coding RNA (OEUR_LNC014114)". The record is from RNAcentral. Lineage: Eukaryota; Viridiplantae; Streptophyta; Magnoliopsida; Lamiales; Oleaceae.